GCCCGGUUAGCUCAGUCGGUAAAGCAUGAGACUCUUAAUCUCAGGGUCCCUGGUUCGAGACCCACGUUGGGCG
Molecule: transfer RNA, 73 nt
Filed under: Danio rerio (zebrafish)
Lineage: Eukaryota; Metazoa; Chordata; Actinopteri; Cypriniformes; Danionidae
Rfam family: tRNA
About the family: Transfer RNA (tRNA) molecules are approximately 80 nucleotides in length. Their secondary structure includes four short double-helical elements and three loops (D, anti-codon, and T loops).
Source: Rfam by way of RNAcentral